Long non-coding RNA from Daucus carota subsp. sativus, 4176 nucleotides. RefSeq lists it as uncharacterized. Lineage: Eukaryota; Viridiplantae; Streptophyta; Magnoliopsida; Apiales; Apiaceae. The transcript is spliced from 2 exons. The record is from RefSeq and is a predicted model, not a curated record.
UUUAAUUAAUGUUUUAGGUAAAUAUAUUUUUUUUUCUUUUUCAGCAAGUAUUUCUGUAUACUUCCUUGCUAAUAAAAAAAAACAACAAACUCCUGGAAUGAUUUCAAGAGAGAAUCGAUUUGUGUAAAACAAAUUACAAGCAAGAAUAUGACAAAAUAAAAAAAAAAUUACAAGCAAGACGUAAGCUGCAGCUUUUGGAACAAAAAAAUAGUCUAUUAUAUAUAUAAUGCUGAAACAAGGACUUAGGUGAGCCAAAAAAAUAGUGUGAAAUUACAAUUUUGCCCAUCACUUACUGAGCUGAAGUUACUUCUUUAUCCCUCUUGUACUAUGGGCUCUGUCUUUACAGUACCCCAGUAAUUUUUGCACCCCUUCAUUAUAUUUGUGCAUGAACAGCUGCUGAGUCAUGUACUCAUGUGUGAUUUUUGUAUGCAUCAAAAGUACAGACCGGAGUACCACCGUCGAAUUCUCUCUUCGUUUUCCCUCGUAUCUGUGACACUCCAUCUUUUAUUUUCGCUCCCCCAGAUCUAUUUGCAACCCCUGUUGCACAUUAGUAUUCUCCAUUUAAAUUAUAAUUUAUUUGUUGAUUUGAAGGUGUUUGUUUGUUGGAUUCAAGGGUCUUGUUUUGGUUAUAGAUAUUUUUGGUGCUACACAGAAGAUUGGAUUAGAGAGAUUCUGAACAGUUUAUUCAAGAGGGUGAGCGGCUUGUGUUGAAGUUAUUUCUAUCUUCGAUUCUCCGUAAGUAUGCAUUCUCCUUUUAUGAUGUAUUGUUAAAGUGUUAUUUACAUUUGUAGGUCUGAAGAAUCUAAUACUGAUUGAGUGAAAGGAAAUUGAAAAGCUUCCUUUUACUAUAUGUUGGCCUAUCGUAUGAUCCGUAAGUUUGAACAAUUUGCUAUUACACUGAUGCUUUCUAUAUUGGUGAACUAUGUUCAAUAGUUUGGUAUGGUAAAGAAAUUUAGUUAUGAUUAGAUGGUGUUUGAUUAAUGCAUAUGAAUAGAAUUUGAGUUUAAUUAGACCUCGUAUUACCACCCUGGAGCAUAUAUAUUCACCAGAUCGAUGAACAGUCGAACCGAACUCGACUAUUCUUUCGGGAACUGGGACGUGAGGAGCAUUUUGAGUAAUAAUUGUUUUUUUAUCUCUCACCCAGGAGAUGAGAAAAGUUGAGAUCAGAAAAGCUUAUAAACCGGAAAAAUACCAGUAGCAAGAAUUUAUUAACUAUGAGUCUAUGACAAACUAAUUGAUUUAUUUUUAAAAAAAUAAUUAGGUGCAGGGGUGGAGGGAUAGAGAACCUAGAGGGUUCUCUCGAGUACUCUGAGUUCAGAAUUUCUUUUAUAUGUUUUAUACAUUGUAGCAAACAAAAUAGUUGGUACAAGUAAAGAAAGUGGGUGUUACUUAGUGUGUGACCAGCCCAAUUUUUUUUAAUAGUCUAUAAACCUUAACUCAUUAGCCAUUCUGAACUUCUGUUAACAUAUAUUUACAUAUUAUUACUGGAGUUUAUGGUCGUCUUCUCUACACCCUGGUUAUGUCUAAUAUUAAUUCUUGUGUAAAUAGUCUCUAGAAUAGCAUAGCAAUUAGCAACCUGUGAACUAUGCAGGAUAGCUGAUUGUAUGUUAAUAAAAAAAAUUAUUGCUUAUUUUAGUGUUGCUCUUAUUUAUUUCUAGCUCCACCACUGAUUAGGUGGUUCUAUCAUGCAAGUUCGACGUGUGGAAAAGAUUGGUAAAUGUUCCUAAUACAGCAAUUUUCCGAGCAAAUUAUUUUCUCCCUUUACAUGCCCUAAAGCAUCUCUAAUUCUUGCAGCACUUAACAUUUCUGUAUGCUUUGAAUUUUGAUGGUCGUCAGAAUAAAAAUCUCAACAGAAACCGCCUAUGCCUUUGGUAUAAAUUUUUUAAAACAGAUUGCACGAAACGAAAAUAUUUAUGCAACUCAAAUCGAUCAUUGUUGGUUUUUAAGGAUGAUUGGCAUUUACAAACACAUAUGAACAUAUAUUUUGCAGAUGAGUAUAUGUCAUAUGUUGUUAGAGGACAAAGUGAAUACAUAUUGAUUGUGUAUAAGUCUUUGCUUGAGAGCAUAUUGUUAAAAUAAUUUUAAAGAAUAAAGAUACAUGCAUUGCUUGUUUUGAAGAUGAUUUCAAAAGUUGAGUUAUCCCGCUAUUAUCAUACAGACUAUAAAAAUUAGUGAGAAGGUAUAUUAACUAGCCUAAUGACUCCCCACUUCUAUUACGUAAACAUGUAUCGUUUAUUAACUGUCAAGUCCGUUCGCACUAGGCCUCGAGCAUCCAAGAUAAGCAGAGUGUUGUCUAUAUAUGCUUAAUAUUUUUUUAUGAAACUUAGCUGAAUUUAUUUACACAGACCUUGGCAUAUUAAUUAUCAAAUACAAUUAUGUUGUUGGUUCAUUAACCAUACUAGUGACUCCCGCUUAUAUUACAUGUAUGUGUAUCAUUCAUUGACUGCGUAAAUCGGUCCAUAUGAGGCCUGAAGCAUCCAACAUAAGCAGAGUCUUGUCUCAUAUAUUCUCAAUAUUUCAUGAAAUUUUGCUGAAUUUAAUCAAGCAGGCAUUGCCAUAUUGGUUACCAAAUGCAAUCACGUUGAUCGCCGUGCUGCAACAUAUUUAAAGCGAGUGUCUCUAGAGAUUCAUCUGUUGAGGUUAGUGAGGAGAAUAUGAAUUCGGCUCAAGAGGUCAAAGAGAAGGCUAUGGGAGCGAUAUCCGAAGGUCCUUGUGGAUUUGAGAGAAAAGCUUUCCACCGCUCUUUCACAAUGAUUCCUCAAUUAAUAUCAAUUUGUUAUGAUUAGAUCAUGAUAGAAGAAGUUCCUGCUGACACGCAACCAAAAGAGAAAACAAGUUUUUAAGCUCUGUUCCACAAUCCUGGAUUGGGUAAUUGAUAAAAUUUAUUGAACUUCAUCAUAUUAUAUGAACUGAAUGCUUGUGUAGUGUACAAUCUUAUUUUUUGCUUUAUUGGAACUUUGUAUACAUAAAUAAUCAAACUUUGUGUAUAUAGAUUUGGAUGAAAUAAAUGUUAUAGCCAUGUAUAGCAACAACUAAAUGGGAACACAAGUUUUAAAAUACAAAAAAUGCACAAAAACUACGUCAUGACAUGCUUGUUCACAGACCCUGUACGACGUUUACAGCCCUGAUUUUCACCACCCCCAACACCUACCAGAUUACUUCCCUUUUAAGUGCCGGUAGUUGUAGAAUAACACUAAUAAUGUAUUCAGUGUCUGGCUUCAAUGAGCUAUAUCAUAUAUGUUUUGAUGGUGGUAAGAACAAGAACUAAUAAUAUAGUUCUGGAAAUCAUACUGAAGACCUCUCAGCUUCAUUUUUCUAGGUAGGAACACCAAAUUGAAUGAGUUAAUAAGAUCAGUAUGGAGGACAGACAUGCAGUUGCUGAAGCUCAGUUUCAAACUAUAUUUAUAUGAAGAUUUAGUCAUGAAAGUCAUUAAAUCUCAGCCUGAGGUUUCACGGAGUUUUCUGUUUUGUUGAGGAAUUAGUAAGAAUCCGGUUACUUGUUAGAAAAAGCUAAACUUGAAUUUUCUUCAGUUUCCUUUGACCACCUUUCUUUAACAUGUGCCAAUGGGUAAAAAAAAAAAAAAAAAACAGAUUUGAAGUAGAACCCCUAGAAAUCAUAGGCCCAUCAGUCUCAAUUCCUGAUAUCUAAUACAUUAUGUAGAUUUUGGCAUUUGCAAAUCCUUUCUUAAUUCUAAUUUAGUGAUGCAGGAUUUAACUUUCUAUAGUAACAAGCUUAAAUUAUAUCAUCAUAAUUCAAAGUAUACAAGUUAAUCUGCAACGGAGAUAUACAAUGUACUGAUCAGUCAAAGAAUAAGAUACAUGUAAAUGAACUAAUGACCGAAAAACAAUCAAAGAAUUUCUAUAUAUAAAAAAAAAGAAUCAGAAGAGAAUGCACACAGUUUCCGGGAGGCUGAACCGUGCCCUUUUAAACAGCUUGUAAAUGUAAGUUAUCAAAAAUAAACUUUGUAUUUUUUUCGCGAAAUUUUCAACUUCGUCCGAAAGUCUGCAAGGUUCAUGAGAUUCCACUAGCCAAAAAAAUGAUGACAGAUAUCGUUACAAUCGACAGAAGGUUAAUGCUUAAACGUGCCAUGCUUAAACUUGAUAAAUAUGUAUAGUUAGCAAGGAAAAAUUGUUGGUACGACCACAAAAUUGAUAUAGUUGUAAGUCAUGUGGAUC